UUUUACAAUGUAGAGUUUGAUCCUGGCUCAGGAUGAACGCUAGCUACAGGCUUAACACAUGCAAGUCGAGGGGCAGCAUGUUGGUUGCUUGCAACCAAUGAUGGCGACCGGCGCACGGGUGAGUAACGCGUAUCCAACCUACCCAAUACUCAGGCAUAACCCGUUGAAAGACGGACUAAUUC
RNAcentral lists this ribosomal RNA (182 nucleotides) under Hoylesella nanceiensis. RNAcentral's name for it is "partial 16S ribosomal RNA". It matches the Rfam family "Bacterial small subunit ribosomal RNA", at positions 1 to 169 of the family's 1533-position model. The record is from RNAcentral. Lineage: Bacteria; Pseudomonadati; Bacteroidota; Bacteroidia; Bacteroidales; Prevotellaceae.